GUAGUGGUGGUUCAGUAGUAGAAUUCUCACCUUCCAUGUGGGAGACCUGGGUUUGAUUCCUGGCCGAUGUA
RNAcentral lists this transfer RNA (71 nucleotides) under Loxodonta africana (African savanna elephant). It matches the Rfam family "tRNA". From Rfam's summary of the family: Transfer RNA (tRNA) molecules are approximately 80 nucleotides in length. Their secondary structure includes four short double-helical elements and three loops (D, anti-codon, and T loops). The record is from Rfam by way of RNAcentral. Lineage: Eukaryota; Metazoa; Chordata; Mammalia; Proboscidea; Elephantidae.